Molecule: ribosomal RNA, 200 nt
Filed under: uncultured bacterium
Lineage: Bacteria
Description: partial 16S ribosomal RNA
Rfam family: Bacterial small subunit ribosomal RNA
Source: RNAcentral
AUUCCUACGGGAGGCAGCAGUGGGGAAUUUUGGACAAUGGGCGCAAGCCUGAUCCAGCAAUGCCGCGUGCAGGAAGAAGGCCUUCGGGUUGUAAACUGCUUUUGUACGGAACGAAACGGUCUGGGUUAAUACCCUGGGCUAAUGACGGUACCGUAAGAAUAAGCACCGGCUAACUACGUGCCAGCAGCCGCGGUAAUAAU